UAAGACGUAGGAGGCGAGCGUUAUCCGGAAUUACUGGGCGUAAAGGGCGAGUAGGCGGCCCGUUAAGUCUAUGGUGAAAUCUCCCGGCUCAACUGGGAGGGAGUCAUAGAAACUGGGGGGCUUAAGGGCAGCAGAGGGAGGUGGAAUUCCCGGUGUAGUGGUGAAAUGCGUAGAUACCGGGAGGAACACCAGUGGCGAAGGCGGCCUCCUGGGCUGUACCUGACGCUGAGGCGCGAAAGCGUGGGGAGCAAACAGGAUUAGAUACCCUGGUAGUCCACGCCACAAACGAUGGACACUAGGUAUGGGGGGUAUCGACCCCCUCCGUGCCGAAGCUAACGCUUUAAGUGUCCCGCCUGGGGACUACGGCCGCAAGGCUA
Molecule: ribosomal RNA, 377 nt
Filed under: uncultured bacterium
Lineage: Bacteria
Description: bacterial SSU rRNA
Rfam family: Bacterial small subunit ribosomal RNA
Source: RNAcentral